AUUGAACGCUGGCGGCAUGCCUUACACAUGCAAGUCGAACGGUAACGGGCCUUCGGGUGCCGACGAGUGGCGAACGGGUGAGUAAUACAUCGGAACGUGCCCGAUCUUGGGGGAUAACGAGGCGAAAGCUUUGCUAAUACCGCAUACGAUCUACGGAUGAAAGCAGGGGACCGCAAGGCCUUGCGCGGACGGAGCGGCCGAUGGCAGAUUAGGUAGUUGGUGGGAUAAAAGCUUACCAAGCCGACGAUCUGUAGCUGGUCUGAGAGGAUGAUCAGCCACACUGGGACUGAGACACGGCCCAGACUCCUACGGGAGGCAGCAGUGGGGAAUUUUGGACAAUGGGCGCAAGCCUGAUCCAGCCAUGCCGCGUGCAGGAUGAAGGCCUUCGGGUUGUAAACUGCUUUUGUACGGAACGAAAAGCAUUCUUUUAAUACAGGAGGGUCAUGACGGUACCGUAAGAAUAAGCACCGGCUAACUACGUG
This 482-nucleotide ribosomal RNA is filed under the name uncultured bacterium. Its description in RNAcentral is "partial 16S ribosomal RNA". It matches the Rfam family "Bacterial small subunit ribosomal RNA", at positions 30 to 507 of the family's 1533-position model. The record is from RNAcentral.